Molecule: unclassified non-coding RNA, 2759 nt
Filed under: Leishmania donovani
Lineage: Eukaryota; Euglenozoa; Kinetoplastea; Trypanosomatida; Trypanosomatidae
Description: gene:LdHU3.32.4700(CDS-product:hypothetical_prote in_conserved)
Source: RNAcentral
CACGCAUUCAACGGACAACAGCCUGAGCUCUCUGUCUACUUUACCCGUUUCCGUGCAGGUCUUCGCCGUACCUCUCCAUGCUGCCUUGUCUCCUGGUGUAGCCGCGUCUUCUCACUGUAUCUGGCCUCACCGCGUUUGCGUUCCUUUAGGCGAUCAGGUUCCUCUUGCCCUUCUUCCACACGCACACUAGUAGCAUGGGUAAGACGCACGAUCAUGAGCCUCCGGCGACGAUGAAGCCGCUGGAGGAGCUCACCGACGCGGACACGCGCGAGAUGAGGGACUUGGGCAUCGGCGAAGGCAUGUUUAACCGCAUCCUCACCUCCUGCAUGAAGUUCGCCCUCUCCGGCGGCUGGAGUGUGCGGAAGCGUGACGCCAAGUACGACAUCGUAUGGGAGACGAAGCCCAGCCGCAACAGCAAUAAACAGGCGAUGCGGUUCACCGCCAAAGUGCCGAACUGCAACACAGGCUCUCUGGAGGCCAUCCUCGUGGACGACGAAUACCUUGAAGACGAUCCGAACGUUAGCUACAUGUACAAGUACGAUGGACUGCUGCAGCAGAACCAUGCCGAGAAGCGCAUCGCCGGCAAUGUCACGGUACAGAGCACGCACUACGGAGCGCCGGUGAUGUUCGUGGCGCCGCGGCACAUAAUCUCCUACGUCACACUCGGCGCUCUUCUCACGCCGGCGCAGCAGAAGGAGCUCGGGAUUCGGCCCACUGGGCUCCGCGACCAGCCGGCCGACGCAGAGCGCACGGACAACCUCAUGGCGUUCACCCAGUGCUGCAUCGACUACACUGGGGAUGCCGUAGAGCUAAGGAAGGGCAGCGAGCGCGGCCACGUGUACAGCUACUCGUUGCUGGGGCAGGAGGAGCCGGACGGCUCCAUGACGGUGACGAUGACGUUGGAUAUGGACCCUGCUGGUAAAUUGCCGGCGAAGGUAGUGGACAUGAGCAGCGACGAGCAGCACAAGAAGAUGCAGCGGAUCGUUGAACUGCUGAAGGCAAAAGGUCCACAGCCGCACCUGUGCAGCGUCUACCAAAACACACGCGACUUCCCCUUUCGCAACCCCUCCAAAGGAGAGGGGGAGAAGAGAAGCUGAGCAGUGAAGGCGCCGUCGUUGAGGCAGGGUGAGGGGGUGCUGGGCGUGGCACGAUGAUGGCGCUAACACGCGCUCCUUUUUUUUUUCGACGCAGGCCGCUGAAUGACAUCAAUGCCCAUGUGCACACACACACGCGCACGCACGCUCGCCUCGGCGCUCACUGUCUCUGAAGGCUUCUCUUGUUUCUCGCCUCUUUUUGUUCGUUUUUUUUGUUCGUUGCAUGUAUCUUCGCGUGUGUGCGCCUGCGUUGUUUCUCUGCACGCCACUAGACCCGCGCUCGACUGAAGACAGACUUCUCUUGGCCCGCUCCCGCUCCCCUCGCGUCAGCGCUGCUGGUUUUACUAUUCUGACACGUGUGCGCAUCUUCUCUCUUGCCAACCCCUAUCGGCUGCUGUGCCACUCGCGCUGCCGUCAGCAUUCUCAUGCGCUGCCCCAGCAGUGCGUCCAGCCCUUCCCCCUCAUCCCACCCGACACACAAACGCCCAUACUCAUGUACACGGACGCUUGCGCUAGCCAUACUGCAAUGCGCGCGCGCGGGUGGGGCGGUACGCAUAUCUGCAGCACAUGGUGCCACUUCUGCUGUCUUGUUUUGCUCUUCUCUUCAGUGAGCGGCUCACUUGCGUGUAUGUUUGUCUGUCUGUGCCUGUGCAUGUCCCUGGUGCAUAUCUGCAGCUGCACUUGUUAACAACUGUGGUUGUGUGCGCGUUACCGACCUGCCUUUAUGUUUCUCUUCCUCCUUUGUUUUCGUGAGUGGCUCCUUGCCUUCUUUGAGUUGGAGUGUCUGCGUAUAGUGGCCGACCACAGCUCCACUUCACACGUCUUUCAUGCCCCGCCCACCGCCGGUGCAGGUGCCGCCCGCUACCAAUCCUCUUCCCCACCCCCAGACACCCCUCUCAUCACCUUCGCAUCCCUCGUCUACCUGCCGACUGCUGAGCUGGGUGCCAUAACUAUACAUGAUAGCGCCCGGCCUCGUCGUGGUGGUGGCGGGGAGCUGCUGUGGGACUGCUAGGGCGACGGAGGGUCACGAGGAGGCGGGCAUACCCACAUCAAUGGACCGCGCGGAGGCCUUUUCUUUCUGCCUUGUUUGCCCUCUCUUCAACGACAUUGGGUUUCGAAGAACGUUCAAAGAGCAUCCGCGCGACUGCAUGGGCGGGAAAGACAAGGAACCAGCUCACCUCCGCACCCACGCGCCUGUCUUCAUGCGUUGUUUCUCUUGCGCGUUUGUGUCGGCUUCUCUCUCUGUAUACUCUAGUGGCGUGCCUCGGCCAUGAGGAUGCCGGCGACGAGCCCUCGCGCGCCCUCCCCUGUGCCCGCUCCUUGUGCCUCCUUCCGAGGCCGGCAGGUGAGUGCGCGUCCGUCCCUGCGAAGAGGGACCUCUUUCUUGUGUCGCGUCUGUCUGCUCAUCUGAUGCGUCGUUGUACGCUCUUCGUGGGACACCACGGUGCGACGAGAUCCGGCGGGGAGUGCGAUCGGGUUGUGCUCUCUGUCUCUCGUCCCAGUGGAGGCGGUGGCGUUGCGCUGCCUGCCGGUGCUACUUCCAGCGUCGAUUGCCGUGGACGCGGAGGCGCUGAGGCACAUCAACUUGAGGUUUGCGUAGGCGGAUUGCCAGAGGCGGGGACAGGCAACGCACGCCAGCAGACAGUGUCAAGGCCUACGCCACUC